This 254-nucleotide ribosomal RNA is filed under the name uncultured bacterium. RNAcentral's name for it is "partial 16S ribosomal RNA". It matches the Rfam family "Bacterial small subunit ribosomal RNA", at positions 524 to 776 of the family's 1533-position model. The record is from RNAcentral.
UACGUAGGGACCAAGCGUUGUUCGGAUUUACUGGGCGUAAAGCGCGCGUAGGCGGUUUUGCAAGCCAGAGGUGAAAUGCCUGAGCUCAACUUAGGAAUUGCCUUUGGGACUGCGAGGCUUUGAGGACUGGAGAGGUGAGUGGAAUUCCCAGUGUAGAGGUGAAAUUCGUAGAUAUUGGGAAGAACACCGGUGGCGAAGGCGGCUCACUGGCCAGUUUCUGACGCUGCAGCGCGAAAGCGUGGGGAUCAAACAGG